CCUACGGGUGGCUGCAGUGGGGAAUUUUGCGCAAUGGGCGAAAGCCUGACGCAGCAACGCCGCGUGUGUGAUGAAGGUCUUUGGAUUGUAAAGCACUUUCGACCGGGACGAAAACCCGAAGGCUAACAUCCUUCGGCUUGACGGUACCGGGAGAAGAAGCACCGGCUAACUCUGUGCCAGCAGCCGCGGUAAUACAGAGGGUGCAAGCGUUGUUCGGAAUUAUUGGGCGUAAAGCGCGUGUAGGCGGCUUUGCAAGUCGGGUGUGAAAGCCCUCA
This 275-nucleotide ribosomal RNA is filed under the name uncultured bacterium. Its description in RNAcentral is "partial 16S ribosomal RNA". It matches the Rfam family "Bacterial small subunit ribosomal RNA", at positions 338 to 606 of the family's 1533-position model. The record is from RNAcentral.